This 493-nucleotide ribosomal RNA is filed under the name eukaryotic picoplankton environmental sample. RNAcentral describes it as "SSU rRNA". It matches the Rfam family "Eukaryotic small subunit ribosomal RNA", at positions 626 to 1139 of the family's 1831-position model. The record is from RNAcentral.
GCUCGUAGUCGGAUUUUGGCUGAGAACGGUCGGUCCGCCGUUAGGUGUGCACUGACUGGUCUCAGCUUCCUGGUGAGGAGGUGUGCUUCACGGCCACUUAGUCACCGUGGUUACUUUGAAAAAAUUAGAGUGUUCAAAGCGGGCUUACGCUUGAAUAUAUUAGCAUGGAAUAACACCAUAGGACUCCUGUCCUAUUUCGUUGGUCUCGGGACGGGAGUAAUGAUUAAGAGGAACAGUUGGGGGCAUUCGUAUUUCAUUGUCAGAGGUGAAAUUCUUGGAUUUAUGAAAGACGAACUUCUGCGAAAGCAUUUGCCAAGGAUGUUUUCAUUGAUCAAGAACGAAAGUUGGGGGCUCGAAGAUGAUUAGAUACCAUCCUAGUCUCAACCAUAAACGAUGCCGACUAGGGAUUGGCGGAUGUUAAUUGAUGACUUCGCCAGCACCUUAUGAGAAAUCAAAGUUUUUGGGUUCCGGGGGGAGUAUGGUCGCAAGGCUG